RNAcentral lists this ribosomal RNA (301 nucleotides) under uncultured bacterium. Its description in RNAcentral is "partial 16S ribosomal RNA". It matches the Rfam family "Bacterial small subunit ribosomal RNA", at positions 509 to 807 of the family's 1533-position model. The record is from RNAcentral.
CAGCAGCCACGGGAAUACGUAGGGUGCAAGCGUUAAUCGGAAUUACUGGGCGUAAAGCGUGCGCAGGCGGUUAUAUAAGUCAGAUGUGAGAUCUCCGGGCUCAACCUGGGAACUGCAUUUGAGACUGUAUGGCUAGAGUGUGUCAGAGGGGGGUAGAAUUCCACGUGUAGCAGUGAAAUGCGUGGAUAUGUGGAGGAAUACCGAUGGCGAAGGCAGCCCCCUGGGAUAACACUGACGCUCAUGCACGAAAGCGUGGGGAGCAAACAGGAUUAGAUACCCCCGUAGUCCCUGUCUCUUAUAC